This 1522-nucleotide ribosomal RNA is filed under the name Saprospiraceae bacterium. RNAcentral's name for it is "bacterial SSU rRNA". It matches the Rfam family "Bacterial small subunit ribosomal RNA". Lineage: Bacteria; Pseudomonadati; Bacteroidota; Saprospiria; Saprospirales; Saprospiraceae. The record is from RNAcentral.
ACUAUGGAGAGUUUGAUCCUGGCUCAGGAUGAACGCUAAAGCGGGGAGUGCCUAUUACAUGCAAGUCGAGCGGGUAACUUUCUUCGGGAAGCUAGAGCGGCGCACGGGUGAGUAACGCGUACAUGACCUGCCUUUAAGACCGGGAUAGCCCUGGGAAACUGGGAUUAAUACCGGAUGAUAAUAGAUAUAAAGAUUUCUUAUUAAAGCUACGGCGCUUAGAGAUGGAUGUGCGUCUGAUUAGCUAGUUGGUAGGGUAACGGCCUACCAAGGCUGGGCGAUCAGUAGGGGGGCGUGAGAGCGUGGCCCCACACACGGGUACUGAGACACGGACCCGACUUCCUACGGCGGCAGUAAGAAUAUUGGUCAAUGGACGAAAGUUCGAACCAGCCAUCCCGCGUGCAGGAUGAAGGUCCUAUAUUGUAAACUGCUUUAGCAGAGAAGAAAGCAUCCUUUUAAGGGUGUCCGACGGUAUUCUGGUGAAUAAGCACCGGCUAACCCGUGCCAGCAGCCGCGGUAUCAGGGAGCGGUGCAAGCGUUAUCCGGAAUCACUGGGUUUAAAGGGUGCGUAGGCGGAAUAUUAAGUCAUCGGUGAAAGCCCGUCGCUUAACGAUAGAACUGCCAUUGAUACCUGAUAUUCUUUGAAUUGGGUUGAGUGUUAUGGAAUGACAUGUAGCGGUGAAAUGCAUAGAUAUGUCAUGGAACACCAAUUGGUGAAGGGUAGCCAGCUGGGCCUUGAUUGACGCUGAUGGCACGAAAGCGUGGGUGGUAGCGAACAGAUUAGAUACCCCGGGUAGUCCACGCCCUAAACGAUGCUAACUCGAUGUUUGGACUUAAGGUUUGAGCAUCCGGCGGAAACCGAUAAGUUAGCCACCUGGGGAGUACGACCGCAAGGUUGAAACUCAAAGGAAUUGAAGCCAGGUCCGUACAAGCGGUGGAGCAUGUGGUUUAAUUCGAUGAUACGCGACGAACCUUACCUAGGCUAGAAUGUGAGUGACGGUCUGUGAAAGCAGGCUUUCCUUCGGGACACGAAACAAGGUGUUGCAUGGUUGUCGUCAGCUCGUGCCGAUAGGUUGGGUUAAGUCCUCAACGAGCGCAACCCCUAUCGUUAGUUACCAUCAUUGGGUUGGGGACUCUAGCGAGACUGCCGGCGUAAGCCAUAAGGAAGGUGGGGAUGACGUCAAAUCAUCAUGGCCUUUGGUGCUCUAGGGCGACACGGUCUACAAAUGGCCGGCACAGACAGAACAUACAGUGAUGUGGAGCCAAUCCCAGAAAGGCCGGUCCCAGUUCGGAUUGGAGUCUGCAACCCGACUCCAUGAAGGUGAAUCGCUAGUAAUCGCGCAUCAGCCAUGGCGCGGUGAAUACGUUCCCGGACCUUGUACACACACCCGCCCGUCGUGGGUUACUGAAGCUGGGGUACCUAAAGAUGGUGACUUUACGGGGAGCUAUCUAAGGUAAAACCAGUAACUGGGCUAAGUCGUAACAAGGUAGGCCUACCGGAAGGUGUGGCUGGAAUACCUCCUUU